GCGGGGGCGCGCGCGGGCGCGGCGGCGCGCGGAGCCGGGCACGGGCACGGCCGCGCCGAGCGGAGCGCAGCCCAGCGCGGUCCAGAGCUCGCCCGGCCGAGCCCAGCCGCCGCCGCGAUGUUGGACCCGUCGUCCAGCGAGGAGGAGUCGGAGGAGCUGGUGGAGGAGGAGAGCGGCAAGGAGCCGCUGGCGCCCGCCGCGGCGCGGCUCUCGCCCAGCCGCCCCGGCGAGGGCCCGGGCGGCGGCGGCGGCGGCGGUGCCGGCGGCGGUGGGAGCGCCGGGGGGCUGCAGCCCGGCGGGCGCGGCAGCAGCGCGGCCCGGCCCGCCAGCCCCAGCCCCUCGGUGGCCAGCGAGAAGGAGAAGGAUGAGCUGGAGCGGCUGCAGCGGGAGGAGGAGGAGAGGAAGAAGAAGCUGCAGCUCUACGUCUUCGUCAUGCGCUGCAUCGCCUACCCCUUCAACGCCAAGCAGCCCACCGACAUGGCCCGCCGGCAGCAGAAGAUAAGUAAGCAGCAGCUCCAGACAAUCAAAGAUCGUUUCCAGGCCUUUCUCAAUGGAGAAACCCAGAUUGUGGCAGAUGAAGCAUUUAUAAAUGCUGUCCAGAGCUACUACGAGGUAUUCCUGAAGAGCGACCGCGUUGCCAGGAUGGUGCAGAGCGGAGGGUGCUCGGCAAACGACUCCCGGGAGGUCUUCAAGAAGCACAUCGAGAAGAGAGUGCGCAGCCUGCCAGAAAUUGAUGGCCUCAGCAAGGAGACAGUCCUGAGCUCUUGGAUGGCAAAGUUUGAUGCUAUUUACCGUGGGGAGGAGGAUCCCCGGAAGCAACAGGCCAGGAUGACAGCGAGUGCUGCCUCGGAGCUCAUUCUCAGCAAGGAGCAGCUCUAUGAGAUGUUCCAGAACAUUUUGGGGAUCAAGAAAUUUGAGCAUCAGCUUCUGUACAAUGCAUGUCAGCUGGACAACCCUGAUGAGCAAGCAGCGCAGAUCAGACGCGAGUUAGAUGGACGUCUCCAAAUGGCAGAACAAAUUGCCAAGGAGCGCAAAUUUCCCAAGUUUGUGUCCAAAGAAAUGGAGAACAUGUACAUUGAGGAGCUGAAGUCAUCUGUCAAUCUCCUGAUGGCAAACUUGGAGAGCAUGCCUGUGUCUAAAGGAGGCUCUGAGUUCAAGCUGCAGAAGCUGAAACGUAGCCACAACACCUCAAUAAUUGACAUGGGAGAGGAAAAUGAGAACCAGCUUUCCAAGUCAGAUGUCGUGUUGUCAUUCUCCCUGGAGGUUGUCAUCAUGGAGGUGCAGGGGCUGAAGUCCCUGGCCCCCAACCGCAUCGUGUACUGCACCAUGGAAGUGGAAGGUGGGGAGAAGCUGCAGACAGACCAGGCUGAAGCCUCAAAGCCAACCUGGGGCACCCAAGGAGACUUCACGACAACCCAUGCGCUUCCUGCAGUGAAGGUGAAGCUGUUCACAGAGAGCACAGGAGUGCUGGCUCUGGAGGACAAAGAGCUUGGGAGGGUCGUUCUCCACCCUACUCCUAAUAGCCCAAAGCAGUCAGAGUGGCACAAAAUGACUGUUUCCAAAAACUGCCCAGAUCAAGACCUGAAGAUCAAGCUUGCUGUGAGAAUGGAUAAGCCUCAAAACAUGAAGCACUCUGGGUAUUUAUGGGCCAUUGGUAAGAAUGUUUGGAAGAGAUGGAAGAAACGAUUCUUUGUCCUGGUCCAGGUUAGUCAAUAUACAUUUGCUAUGUGCAGCUACCGGGAGAAAAAAGCAGAACCUCAAGAGCUGCUGCAGCUCGACGGAUACACUGUGGACUACACCGACCCGCAGCCAGGUUUGGAUGGUGGCAGAACAUUCUUCAAUGCUGUGAAGGAAGGAGACACGGUGAUUUUUGCGAGUGAUGAUGAGCAGGACCGUAUCCUGUGGGUCCAAGCCAUGUACCGAGCCACUGGCCAGUCUCACAAACCUGUGCCACCUACCCAAGUGCAAAAGCUAAAUGCUAAAGGAGGAAAUGUACCCCAGAUAGACGCUCCAAUCUCUCAAUUUUCUGGACUCAAGGAUGCAGAUAGAGCUCAAAAGCAUGGCAUGGAUGAAUUUAUCUCUUCCAAUCCCUGUAACUUUGACCACGCUUCACUCUUUGAGAUGGUUCAGCGCCUCACUUUGGACCACAGACUUAAUGAUUCCUAUUCUUGUCUGGGCUGGUUUAGUCCUGGCCAGGUCUUUGUGCUAGAUGAGUAUUGUGCACGUAAUGGAGUGAGAGGCUGUCACAGACAUCUCUGCUACCUCAGAGAUUUGCUAGAGCGCGCAGAAAACGGAGCUAUGAUUGACCCCACCUUACUUCACUACAGCUUUGCCUUUUGUGCAUCACAUGUUCAUGGCAACAGCCAACUCAUGGCAGAAUUACUUGGUGGGUCACAGCCAAGUGCAGACGGUGAGGGGGGCAAAGCCUCUGCCGCUGAAACGGAGACAAAAAAGGAUUCCAAAAAGGAGUCCAAAAAAAAGAAGGAGCCCAAAACCCAGCCGAAUCCAGAGCCGAAAAGGCCUGAUGGGAUAGGAACUGUGACCGUGGACGAGAAAGAGCGUUUCGAAGAGAUCAAGGAGCGGCUUCGGGUGCUGCUGGAGAAUCAGAUCACACAUUUCAGGUACUGCUUCCCAUUUGGCCGUCCAGAGGGUGCACUGAAAGCCACUCUGUCACUGCUGGAAAGGGUUCUGAUGAAAGACAUAGUUACUCCAGUCCCUCAAGAGGAGGUAAAAACAGUCAUUCGUAAAUGCUUGGAGCAAGCAGCUCUAGUCAAUUAUACUCGACUAUCAGAGUAUGCCAAAAUUGAAGGGAAAAAGAGAGAAAUGUAUGAGCAUCCUGUCUUCUGCUUGGCCUCUCAAGUGAUGGAUUUAACCAUUCAGAAUCAAAAGGACGCAGCCCGUCCGCCCAAGCCUAAGCCGCCGGCUGGGCCACCAUCAUCUCCUCAAACGCAGACUAACAUGAUAGAUCAUAUGCUCAAAGGCAUGGCCAAACAGCCGCCAAAGAAUGUAGGCCGGUUAGUCACACCAGCUAAAAAGUUAGAAGAUACAAUACGUCUGGCAGAGUUGGUAAUUGAAGUCCUACAGCAAAACGAAGAGCACCAUGCAGAGGGGAAAGAGGCCUUUGCUUGGUGGUCAGACCUAAUGGUUGAGCACGCGGAGACCUUCCUGUCCCUGUUUGCAGUGGAUAUGGACGCAGCGUUAGAGGUGCAGCCCCCAGACACCUGGGACAGCUUCCCGCUCUUUCAGCUCAUUAACGAUUCCCUCCGUAGUGACUAUAAUUUGUGCAAUGGAAAAUUCCACAAACACCUCCAAGACCUGUUUGCUCCACUUGUUGUUAGAUAUGUCGAUCUGAUGGAGUCCUCAAUUGCACAGUCAAUUCACAGGGGCUUUGAGCGGGAGUCAUGGGAGCCAGUAAAGAGUUUAACAAGUAAUCUGCCCAAUGUGAAUCUACCAAAUGUGAAUCUCCCUAAAGUACCAAAUCUACCAGUUAACAUCCCACUAGGCAUCCCACAAAUGCCUAGCUUUUCUGCACCGUCAUGGAUGGCUGCUAUUUAUGAUUCUGACAAUGGAUCAGGCACCUCAGAAGAUAUGUUCUGGAAGCUUGAUGCCCUACAGACCUUCAUUCGGGAUUUGCACUGGCCCGAGGAGGAGUUUGGGAAACACUUGGAGCAGCGCUUGAAGCUUAUGGCGAGUGACAUGAUCGAGUCCUGUGUGAAAAGAACAAGGAUUGCAUUUGAAGUAAAACUGCAGAAAACCAGCCGAUCAACAGAUUUCCGAGUCCCUCAAUCAAUAUGCACCAUGUUUAAUGUCAUGGUGGAUGCCAAAGCUCAGUCUACAAAGCUUUGCAGUAUGGAAAUGGGCCAAGAGUUUGCAAAAGAGUGGCACCAGUACCAUUCAAAAAUAGAUGAACUAAUUGAGGAAACCGUCAAAGAAAUGAUAACACUCCUAGUGGCAAAGUUUGUCACCAUUUUGGAAGGAGUCUUGGCCAAACUGUCUAGAUAUGAUGAAGGGACUUUGUUUUCUUCAUUCCUGUCAUUUACUGUGAAGGCUGCUUCAAAAUACGUGGACGUACCCGUAAGCACAAUUUAAACAACUUCUGUCAUAGUAAUUUGCAUCGUGCUUUGGUUUAUGGCAUGUGUAGCAACCCACAUGAUGCAUUAACAGCCAAGAUUGAACCAUGGGCCUUCAUACUUCUAACAUUUGAACUGGAAAAGAUAUCUCCAUUAUGUUAAUAAUGAGCAGUUACCCUCUUAUGGAGACCUAUGAGGCUGUUUAGGCAACAAUUUGCAGAUGGUGUCAAAAAGGUACCAUAUUUAUGCAAUUGGCUUGAAUCACAUUUGAAAAAAAAAAAUGGGAGCAGUGCAUUCUGUUGAUUCUUCAUUUGGACUUGUACAAAUACAGUAUAAUUUCCAAACAAAAAGUCCAGACAUGUUAGAACUGAGCCAACACACAUCUAACACAUUAGCUAAUCUAUUUUAUUUUUGUUCUUCUAAUUGUUGGUUUAUUUUACUCUUUUGGAAAAUGACUUUUUUAUUACUUUGGGGAAAUGGUGAUGAGCUACCAACAUGUGUUUGGGAAAUUGUUAAUGAAAAUAAUUUUUUCCAUUUUUCUGUAAUUGGUGUAGGGAAACUGUACAUCGUCUCCUCUAAUUAGACCUUGAUUCAUAAGGAAAAGAGCCCUUAAUGUUCUUAGACAGAGCACUUAACUUGCCAGAAAUUUACAUUUAAAUUAAGUUGAAGUGUAAUAUAUGAAUGUUGGCUGGAAUAAGGGGUUACUGUAACAUUUACAGGCAGAAAGAUCCUGAGCAACUGCAAAUGCAGAAAAAUAGACCUUAAUAUACCACACCAGUUCCUGCACCCAGUUAGACUGGGCAGUGGAAAUCAAGAGUAACUCAGCUGAGUCUGAUGAUGUGUAUGUACAAUGUUGUAUAUUUAAUGCAAUUGUAUUGUUCUGCAUGUUCUCAUAUGACAAUGUGAUAAAUUUAUCAGACAUCUUGGACCACAUCAUCUGCAUUUGGUUUUUUUCAGCCCUUUAGCCCAACCUAAAUGUUGCCUACAAAAUUAUCAUAUCUCGAGCCUAGCAUGGAAAAGACAAACUCUUGAACAUUAAGAGGUGUUGCUUGGUUUAAAAUACCCCAGUGCAGAUCUUGGCAUCCUGUUCUCUUGGAGUAAUAAAAGCAAGAUUUUGAGAGCCUUGGGAAGAAAAACUCAUAAUUUAUUUCUUGCCCUGAAAAUGUGGAGAUCCUUCAGAUGAAACGUCCUAGUUGUUUCAGUGCAUCUUAAAUAUUUAGUCAUCAGAAAUUUGAACACAGAACAGUUAUUUUAAGCAACUUCUAGGGCGAAGCAUGGCCUUCUCUGAGGCCUCUGUGUUCCAAAAGUAAAGCAUUUCCAGGGAAGUGGUCUUAGUAAAAUGCUGUGUAACCCUUUCAAGCUUUUCCAGAAGCUUUGUACCUUGAACACCCUUGGGAGGUCUGCAGCAGGGUCUGCUUCUCUCCUCAAAGCCAGACAGAUGCUCCAGUUCUUUGUGUAAAUCAGAGCAGAAAUCAUUCACCUGGGUUAGUUUUCAGUUGUUUCCCCACCUGCCCCUGGAAAUGAAACCAAAUUACAGUGGCUUCCUUGACAGCCUCAACAUUUUUAAUGAACUGAGCCACCAGCCCCACACAGCUCCCAGAGCUGUGCAGAGGUCACUCCAUGGUCCGUGAGCCACUGCCUUUCCAGGGGAAGGAGAAAGAAAAACCUGUUCAGCUGGAGGACAGAGGGGAAAUCCUGGUGUCGAACAGAAACCCACCAUUUAAAUUUAAUUCUGCAAAUGUUAGUUAAAUCUAAUUCUGUAAUUCCAAUUGUCUUGGUACAAACCAAUCCGUCUAAUCCUGCCUUGGAAUGGGCACGAUCAGCAGACUGAAAAUUGCUUGAAAGUGUAACACUUGACUACUGCCACGUUUGUGUUGUCCUCAUUGUUUUUCAAAUUAAUACCUUGUCAUUGUUGCAGUAGGUGUUAAGAAAUGUCACUGCCUUCCCAAGGGCCAAGCACUGGCCCUUUGCUUGAUAAUUGUUUGCUUUGUAUUAAAAAACUCCCUUCCUACUGCUUUCCAAACUGUCCUCAUUUUCACCCUGGAAAUUACAUGGAUGUGUUAACUAACUUCAAUUUACAGCGGCUGACAAUCGAUUCUUGCAGAGAAAUGAUACUCUGUGAUCUGAGGUAAAUCACAGUAAUGGAAACUAAUGACACUAGUUAUUAACAAACUUACAAUGUGCCACACAAAUUUAAGGUUUUGUGGCAGCUCUUGUAAUGACUCGUGUUACCAUGUUUUAAUGGGUUUCAUUUGAGGUAAGUUUGAAUCCAAUAUAUCAAGCAAUGUGAACUCAAACACAAUUUUUUAAAAAGUAUUUUCUUAUCCAGCUGCUUCAAUUCCCUUUACUGCUUUAAAGCAAUGCUGUUAUCCCCAAAAUCUUGCAUGCUUGUAGGUUACUCCUUAAAAAUCAGUUCAAUUCUGCAGAGAGCUGUAGAAAUGUGACAUCAGGUAAGUGUUCAUCAGGUAAGGAAAGGGCAAACUGCAGGAGGACAGCAGGAGAUGGAAGAGAAGGAAAAGCAGUGAUGAGCCUGCACAGAGAAGCUGCCCCCUGCAUCACUAUUCAUGUUUUUUUCUCUCUCUCUUCUUCUCUCCUCCAUGCAGAAGCCAGGAAUGGAUGUUGCUGAUGCCUAUGUGACAUUUGUCCGCCACUCUCAGGAUGUCCUGCGUGAUAAGGUCAAUGAGGAGAUGUAUAUAGAAAGGUUAUUUGAUCAAUGGUACACCAGCUCCAUGAGUGUCGUGUGCACUUGGCUGACAGACCGCAUGGACCUGCAGCUCCACAUCUACCAGCUGAAAACCCUCAUUAGGAUAGUCAAG
Molecule: RNA transcript, 6886 nt
Organism: Motacilla alba alba
Lineage: Eukaryota; Metazoa; Chordata; Aves; Passeriformes; Motacillidae
Gene: CADPS
Gene name: calcium dependent secretion activator
Exons: 33
Source: RefSeq, a predicted model, not a curated record